This 8392-nucleotide long non-coding RNA is filed under the name Zea mays. Its description in RNAcentral is "long non-coding RNA (ZMAY_LNC003254)". Lineage: Eukaryota; Viridiplantae; Streptophyta; Magnoliopsida; Poales; Poaceae. The record is from RNAcentral.
CUACAUAUAUAUACACACUACUCUUGAUCUAUCCCAAAUAAUAAAGCGCAGGCCUGCGGCAUGGAACUGCUCCGGAAGCGAGAUAGCCCUGAGUACAAGGUGAUGAUGCGGGGUUGCAAAAGGCAUCAAUAAUCUGUUAGCUAGUUAUUAUGUAAUUGCUGCCAAAUAGCUUGUGUCACGCCAUGGAUUCCCCCGGAUUGCUUCUGCAGUACACAGUGGCAAUGAUGGGUUACGGCCCUGAAGACAAGGACGCGGUGCUGGAGCUGACCUACAACUAUGGUGUCACCGAGUAUGCCAAGGGGAAUGCAUAUGCCCAGGUGUGCAAUUUGGUUUUCCUCCUCCUUCUUCGCGCGCGCUAUGGCCGCCCCAGCAGUCGAGGCUUGACUCUAGACACGCAUGAUGCGGAGAGAUCAAGCAGAUCGCCAUUGGCACCGACGAUGUCUACAGGACCGCGGAGGCGGCGAAGCUGUCCGGAGGCCAGGUGGUGCGGGAGCCGGGGCCCUUGCCAGGGAUCAACACCAAGAUCACAGCCAUCCUGGACCCUGAUGGCUGGAAAUUGGUACUGUACUACUACUAUCCAAUGCGCCCAUCUUUUGGUCUGUAUUGAAGAACGAUUCUCUUUUAUUAGAGGGAAAAGCUUCUUACAAUGUCCAUAUAUCAUAGUGCAGGUCUUCGUCGACAACAUGGACUUCGCCAAGGAACUGGAGUAGCCACGCCAACGACCUCGGACGCCCUGCAACAGGAUUAACUCGCACUGCUGUUGGUCCGUAAUUAAAAUGAAAGCUAUCCUAGUGAAAUCCCAAAUUUUCAUCAUGCAUAGAAUACAGGACCACCAUUAUAUUUGCGAAAGACCCUGAAUCAACGAUCCCAGACAGAUGACUUAUGGGCCAAUUCCCUGUAUACCACUGGAAAAUAUACUCAUCCCUUGUAUGCCACUGGCCCCACAUGUCAUAGACACCAAAAAUUAUACCUAUAUGCCACUCAGUGGCAUACAAGGGAUGAGUAUAAAAUCUGAUGGCAUACCAGGAAUUUUCUCAUGACUUAUAAUGUGUCCACUCGUGUUAAAAACAAAAAAAGACAUCUGACAUUCUUAAGAAAGUUUUCAUAUUACCCACGGAUGGAAAAAAAUAAAAAUCGACCAGAACAGCUAAACUGAUGUGACAUUCGAUCCUGUGCCAUGAUUCAUCAUAUGUGUGAGACUUGGUCCCAGCACACCUGGUGAUUAUGUUCGCGCCCGGGUCUUGGUGCCCCUAAAAUCCGGGUGUGACAAAAGUGGUAUCAAAGGAAUGUUGACUGUAGGACGAAACCUAGAUAGAACUGGACAACCAAUACUUACUUACCUUUGCUACUCUGAUUCUUUUCUAAAAUUUUCUUAAUCUUUUCUCAUCUAUUUCUGCUUUACUCUGAUCAUUCUUACCUUAUCUUUCUAAAGACAAAUGUGGAUUUCACACUUUGAAAUCAUGUGCCUAAAAGUGACCUUUAGAAAUAGGAGACUUAAUCUUAGGAACAAAAAACAAAACUAUUUUUAUAAAUAUCUAUGAACUUGAAUGUUUGUUCUUAUGAUACUUGUCUGAUUUGGAUCUUUGAUUGAGUGUAAUGAGUUGUGGAGUAAUGUCCACAAUUACAUCUACAUAUACAUAUAGGCAUAGAUAUAAAUAAAUAAAAUUCAUAAGAUAACUAAACAAUCUAGAUUAUCCUCCAUUAAAGUGUAUCUAUUUUAAAUAGAUCCCACUUAACUCAAAGGAUCCUAACUUAUCCUAAUUAAAAUGUAUCUGUCUUAAUAGAUCCACCUUAUCUUAAAAGACUCUCUCUUAUCUUAAUAGAUACACACUAUCUUGAAAAGAUUUAGCUGCGAUGGCGGUCGGACGGGGGAUUCUUGCAAGUGCUCUUCCCAUAAACUGUAGCGGGUUUUCGGAAGCUAGUGGAACUUUGUAAAGGCCUCGUAGUGGAUCCCUAGCCAUUCACCUCGGUAGUGUCUAAGGGCCUAGCUAACCCUGGCGACAUGGGAUACACGACUUGUGGGUAAAGGGUACAACCUCUGCAGAGUGUAAAACUGGUAUACUAGCCGAGCUCACGGUCAUGAGCAGCUCAGGACUCUCUGAUGAUUAAAUUAUGGAACCUAAACUCAAUUUGUCAUUUGCAUUUGCAUGGGUUUAUUAUUAAUUUUGUUCUCUAUUAUUUUAUUAUGGUUUGGUAUUUACUUACACUUAGUAACUGCUAAUAAAAGUUUGACCAACAUUAAAAGCAAUGCUCAGCUUUAACCAUUCUCUUUGAUAAGCCUUACACUCCAUGAGCUCCCACCUUUGGUGAGUUCAUGUCACAUUAUUCCCCACAACUUGUUGAGCGAUGAUCAUGUGUGAGCUCACCCUUGCUGUCUCACACCCCCCCCCCACAGGAGAAGAACAGGUGGUUCAGGAGGAGCCACAAGGCGAGGAGUAUGAUCUGAUCUAGGUGGCGUUUCUCAGUUGACAUUGGCGCCGACGAUCCUUAGUUCGUUUUACAUUUAUUCUUUUAUUUUGUAAUAAGUCUUCCGCUAUGUAAUAAAUACUCUAAUGUUUUAUGACAUUUAUCUCUAUACACUCUGUUAUUAUAUAUGUUGUCUUCUUGGCGCAUGUAUGAGAUGCACCCGGCUUUGUUCCUUAAAGCCGGGUGUGACAAGGUUCUUUGGAACCGAACCUCGGUAAAACAAAUCAUCGUGUUCACUCGCCUUGAAUCUUGUUGAUUUGUUUUCCCUCUCUUACGUUUCCUUGCUAGUGUAAAUUUGAGGUGUAAAUUUGGGUUGGUUCCCAUACGUCAUCUGUAAUCUUUGAGCAACUCCUAGCAAGAGAGAUAUUUUUUGGACUUGAAUUUAAUUCUAACGCUAACCCCGACCUUAGUGUGUGUUUAAGUUUAUAAAUUUUAGGUUUCGCCUAUUCACCCUCCCUCUAGGCGACUUUCAAAAAUAGAGAUGAGGGUAGAUUGGAAUGAAGCGAAAUCUUGGUUUUUUGUGAGUAUCCUUAAAGAGUACACUUCACUAAGAUAUCGUGGCCAAAUGGUUGGACGAAAGAUGCUUGGAAUAAUAUGGCACAACGAAUAAACGAAAAUUUUGAAUCAGCAAACUUUGUAGUUUCACAAUUGAAUGACAGAGAGCAAAGGCUAAAGAAAGAUUAUAAUGCAGUUAAGGAAAUUGUGUCAAAGAGUGGUUUCGGUUGGGACAAUGAUCUAAAGAUGGCGACAACUAUUUACAGGCUAUGGAAUGAGCUAUCUGCAGAGAUGGAAAAGCAAGCCCUUCCCUUACUAUGAUGAUAUGCAUGAGAUUUACAAUGGUACACACAACUACUUGUAGAGAUGGAGAAACAAGCCCUUCCCUUACGAAGCAGCAAUCAGGGCCUUAGUACCGUGAACGUAUAGAGGUGUUUGGGAUGACUCCAUGGGUGUUUGGGAUGGCUCCAUGCUCUAGCUCUAAUGCGGAGUUGUAGUUUAUAAUACUAAUUUAAAUAGUUUUAAAAAUACUUUUAAUCUACAUAAUAAACAAAAUGACUUAUCUACAUGUUUUCUAAAGGAUUACAACUCUAGCUCUAUGAUUUUCUAGAGCACAUAAUGACCUACUCUAGCAACUUCACUAAAUUUUCUGGAGAUGAGACUGUCCCAAACAAGGCCAUCAUAUCGUGUUGUUUGAAUUGAACUCUUAAAAAUAAUUAGUAAAAGUCGGUUUAUUAAGUGGUGUUUGAGACCGCUACAAUUCACGAAAAUCAACUCAGCUUCAUAAACCUCUAACCAAACACUUCUAACUUCAACAACUUAGCUUCACCAAAAAUAAUAUGAAGUUAUAUAGGUGCUGGUAUUGCUCUCCUUCACAAAAACUAGCUCAACUUCACAAAAUUUAAGGUAGAGCAACUCAACUUUAAAUUUGCAGAUUUUUAACGUGUUUGACUUGUAAAUUGGCUUUACUAAAAAAUAUAUAAUUAAAAUUAAUAAUAUAAAAUAGAUAAAAUGUGUUUCUCCUUUCUCUUUCCAGUGAUAGAAGUUCACUCGUAGGCACGUAGGCUCAGUGCAGUAACUACCGCGCACGUGUGUUAGCUUUUCAUUGCAUCUCAGCACUUGCUCGGGGGCAUGUACACCAGCGUGGAGAGCUGGUGGAGCGCGUGGCCAUGGCGCAUAGGUGGGGCUCAGGCGGACCUGCUCGUCGCCAUGGCCAAGGCGCCGACGUAGAGCGUAGGCGGGCACGCAGCUCGGCCUGACGCAUAGCGCAGGCGCGUCGAUGUGGCCAGGUGUGGUCGCCGACCGAUGAGAUGGGAAGGCGGGUGUCGAGUACUUGGGAACCGGGUACCUGAAAUAGCUUAAGGCCUUGCAUUAUUCGUUAUUGCAAUUCAUUGUGGAGAAGUGUCGGUGAAGAAGUAUGUUUUCGACCAAGAUGUGGCGAGAAAGGCCCUUGCUGAAAUGGUUGUUUUGCAUGAAUAUCCAUUGUCCAUUGUGGAUCAUGUUGGUUUUAGAAGGUACUCAAGUGUUCUUCAACCGAUGUUUAAGAUGAUCACUAGAAACACUUUGAAGAAUGACAUCAUUGAGAUUUAUGAGAUUGAGAAGAAGAAGGCCUUGAGCUUUAUGCAGAAGAAUAUAAUGCAAGAAUUGCAAUAACGACUGAAAUGUGGACAACUGAGAAUUGCAAUAACGACUGAUAUGGGAAUUGCAAUAACGACUGAUAUGGGGAGGCGGGUGUCGAGUACUUGGUUGCUUCUAGGUUCUGGCUUUGACACUCUUUCUAGUGACCUUGUUCACUUCUUGAGCUUGAUCUUGAGCCUUAUGACUUACACCACAUAACCAUGGGUAUUACCUCAUUAGUUAUAAGUCACGUCCUUAAGUUGUGAUCCUCGAUGCGUCAUAUCUCUUCUCAACUCGAUCAACCUUGACUUUGCAAGUGUUAUUCUUCACCCUGGCUUUGGUUUCCUCGGCCUCCUUGACCUUCUCCCGUGAACUCAGUACCUCGAAGCUCUUCUUGCCUCCAUCCUUGGCUUGAUUAGUUGUCUUCGAGUUACACACUGAGUCUCACUUAGACAAAGUUCAUCUUACUUGUGACAUCUGUUAUCCAUAAACAUUCCAGUCUUUGUACCAUCACACUUGUUCACUUGUGUUGAACCUUGUAAGCUUUGAACUAAGUACCUAUUUAACACUUAUCAACUCCUAUUAGUCCUUUAAUUAGGUUGUCAUCCAAACCACCAAAACCACAAGGGAGCUUUCAAUAUAUACAUAUAUACAAUAUCUAUUCUUUUUAUAACAUAAAUGUCCUUUGUAUAACAUAAAUAAAGAUGACUUGAUUAGCAAACUGAAGUUUAGUUCUCAUACCGGUAUUAUUCGCUAAGGAGAGGACCCACGAAGAAAUUCACACUUAAAAGGUGUAUAGAUUUAGAUAACUCAUUUUAUUUAUUAUUUAGAUUAAAAAUAUUUUCUAAACUAUUUAAUUUUCAUGGGACUGCUCCAGAUCUCUAAAAUUUGGUAGAGUUAGAAGAGUAGGUUAUUAUGUGCUCCAAAAAUCAUAUAGCUGGAGUUGUGAACUUUUAGAAGAUUGUUUUUUGUUUAUUGUUUAUAUUUAAAAUAUUUUUAAACUAUUUAAAUUUAUAUUAUAAACUACAGCUUCACACUUGAGCUUGAACCUAGAGCAGUCUCAAGCACUUUUAUAAACUACAACUCUACGCUUAAGCUGGAUUAGAGUAGUCCUAAAAUACUCCCUAUAUCACAGCUCGAUAGCCUGACUCAAUUUGUUAAUGGCUUGAUUUGACUUGACUUAUUCAUAUUUUUGAAGAUAGUUAGCAAACGAGUCAUCUCGUGAGUAGGCUCAAAGACUAAUAAUUGAAACUUAUCGGCUUCAAACUUAAGGACCCUUUUGGAAAACAGGAUUUUUUUUUGUUUCAUGUGUUUUUCCUAUAAAAUGAACUAGUUUAUGUAAAAUUCAUGUAUGAUCCCUCUAAAAUUCCUGCAUUUCAAAGGAACCCUAAGCUAGCUUUGUAUUACACGAUGUCCUGCAGUUUACAGUCUAACAAUAGUUAGAUUUAGAUCUUUAAAACUUAGAUUAUUAUGUCCCUACAAAUUUGUUUUUAAUAAAUAUAUAGAUAAUCAGUAAUGGACUAUGAAUAUAUACGUGUAGUAUGAAAUAUGGACUAUAGAUAUAUACUGUUUUAUUAUCGUACGUACAUAUACAUAUGCACGCUAUUCAUCACCUAGGGGUGAAGAUUCACCCAGCGAUAAUUACUAAGAGAUCUUCAAUUAUUACACGCUAGUUGAAGCUUCAUCUAGAGUGACAAAUAGUGCUGCCAUAUACAUAAACACAAAUGUAUACACAUAUGCUAUAUAACACCUAGUGUGAAGCUUCACCCAAACUCAAUUGGCCCAACCGAGGAGCCAGCCAUGCGCCAUGAUUUUUCGGAUCCACACACCAUUUUUAUCGGUUCCAUUGGUGAUCCCAGAAAAAAAUUAAACAUAAUACUCGGACCCACAUAACCUAUUUCGCACAUUGGUUUGACCUAACGUGACCAUAGCUGCGUGCAGCUGUGGGGCUGGUACACACCCUGUGGUGUCAACACAACCUAUUCGGACCGGCGGGUGCAGGGCUGCAUCUGCAUGCGGUCAUUCCUGUGAGAUCCAGCUUUACAGCUCUGCGCGGGUCCCAUUGUCCCAUAUCUUGACAGGUGUCUUGACUAGUUCAACAACUCUUCUUCCAACGGCCUGUGGCGGCGACAGUUGUCCAAACCAAAUACAUUGAGGAUAGCACGAGAAAGGGGCGCCAAGCAAACCGGGUCGGCCAGCAGACACCGCCAUGAGGACUCUACUACCUGUGGCCGCCGGUCGCGGGACCGUCGCCUGCGCGGCCACGCCCGUCCCCCGGAGGUCGCUGCUCCUCUCCACCGCUGCCGCAGGUGAGCACCACUCGUCCCUCGACUGUGGCAGUAGCAGUAGCACCGCAGCUAUAGCUGAUGACCUGCUGUGUGUUUUUUUUUAAUUCAUUGCAAGCAGGUGCGGCGCUGCAGCCGGAGCAGGUGGCUGGGACGAGGCCGUUGAGGCUGACCAGGAGCGUGGCGAGCGCCGUGGCAAAGCCCAGGACCUCGGCCGACGAGGCCAUCUCGUGGGCGAAGAAGGACAACCGCCGGCUCCUCCACGUCGUCUACCGGGUCGGCGACCUCGACAAGACGAUCAAGUACUCGCCUCUGAAUUCUGAACUGGAACAGCUCGUCGGCCCGGCCCUGCUGGUCUGAUGACCCAAUAACGCAGUGCAGGUUCUACACCGAGUGCCUGGGGAUGAAGCUGCUCAGGAAGAGAGACAUACCAGAGGAGAAGUACAGCAACGCGUUCCUCGGGUACGGGCCCGAGGAAUCGCAUUUCGUCGUCGAGCUCACUUACAGUCAGUGCGCUCAGUCACUCGGCAUCCCUCACCCCCCCCCCCCCCCCUCUGACCCCUGUACUGUGCAGUCUGCGGUUUCCAGGUUCCUGAUCUUGCUGAAUCCAUUCACAGAUUACGGGGUUGACAAAUAUGACAUAGGCGAAGGGUUCGGCCAUUUCGGCAUCGCAGUCGAGGACGUAAGAUGGCGAACCUAAGACUGCUCCAUCGAUGAGUUAGAAUAGAGAACGUACCAUGCUUGGGAUCAUCUGGAUGAUUCGUGAAACAGGUGGCCAAGACGGUAGAGCUCAUAAGAGCAAAGGCUGGAAAGGUCAUCAGGGAAGCCGGUCCUGUCAAGGGCGGCGAGACCGUCAUCGCCUUCGUGGAGGACCCCGACGGCUACAAGUUUGAGAUCAUCGAGAGGCCUGGAACUCCGGAACCCUUGUGCCAGGUGAUGCUCCGCGUCGGCGACCUUGACCGUGCCAUAAGCUUCUAUGAGAAGGUAAGUAGGUGUAGGCUUUGUUGUCAUAUAUAAGCUCCAUAUCCUUUGUUGUCCAAAAAAAAAAAAAAUCAUCGCUACAUAUAUAUACACACUACUCUUGAUCUCUCCCAAAUAAUAAAGCGCAGGCCUGCGGCAUGGAACUGCUCCGGAAGCGAGAUAGCCCUGAGUACAAGGUGAUGAUGCGGGGUUGCAAAAGGCAUCAAUAAUCUGUUAGCUAGUUAUUAAGUAAUUGCUGCCAGAUAACUUGUGUCACGCCAUGGAUUCCCCCGGAUUGCUUCUGCAGUACACAGUGGCAAUGAUGGGUUACGGCCCUGAAGACAAGGACGCGGUGCUGGAGCUGACCUACAACUAUGGUGUCACCGAGUAUGCCAAGGGGAAUGCAUAUGCCCAGGUGUGCAAUUUGGUUUUCCUCCUCCUUCUUCGCGCGCGCUAUGGCCGCCCCAGCAGUCGAGGCUUGACUCUAGACACGCAUGAUGCGGAGAGAUCAAGCAGAUCGCCAUUGGCACCGACGAUGUCUACAGGACCGCGGAGGCGGCGAAGCUGUC